This 402-nucleotide ribosomal RNA is filed under the name uncultured bacterium. RNAcentral's name for it is "bacterial SSU rRNA". It matches the Rfam family "Bacterial small subunit ribosomal RNA", at positions 30 to 434 of the family's 1533-position model. The record is from RNAcentral.
AUUGAACGCUGGCGGCAUGCCUUACACAUGCAAGUCGAACGGCAGCACGGGAGCAAUCCUGGUGGCGAGUGGCGAACGGGUGAGUAAUAUAUCGGAACGUGCCCAGUCGUGGGGAUAACGUAGCGAAAGCUACGCUAAUACCGCAUACGAUCUACGGAUGAAAGCGGGGGAUCGCAAGACCUCGCGCGAUUGGAGCGGCCGAUAUCAGAUUAGGUAGUUGGUGAGGUAAAGGCUCACCAAGCCGACGAUCUGUAGCUGGUCUGAGAGGACGACCAGCCACACUGGGACUGAGACACGGCCCAGACUCCUACGGGAGGCAGCAGUGGGGAAUUUUGGACAAUGGGCGCAAGCCUGAUCCAGCAAUGCCGCGUGCAGGAUGAAGGCCUCGGUUGGUUAAACGUA